AUGGCGAUGGUUUCCGGUGAGCUGCCUGUGCCGGGUUGCUUACUGCACAGGCGUCGAUCGAUAGGGGUGAGAGAGGUCGUCGCGACGCUACUGAUUUCGCCAGGAUGUACCAGCUGAGCAGAAUAUCAUCGUUCGAAAAUCUUCACUGUCCACAUACAUACAUACUGAAUCGGACAGCUCGACUUUUCGUAGUCUGCGUUCGUAAAUUAUACAGUGUUUGUUCUCAGCUGUAUGAAAAAUCGAUCCGAGUCCAAAGGAAGAUCUCGAGUACCGUUCGUCUUGGUAGGCGGAACGGGGUGGAAAAAUUGUUAAUUGCCCAGCUUGGGGUAUAGGAACUUUCAUAAAUUACUAGGCGACCACGUCCAGCAAGGAGCAUUAGGUCAAGUUUCCAUGCCGCUGGCGCUCAAAGAGUACUGGGGGCAGAGAACAGGUUAGGUUACCUGAUGGCGCUUCGAUUUAACUACAAGCAUGAAAUGAAGAGCGGGGAAAGAACACCACUUCUCUAACGUGCUCACGACGUGCGGGUUCAACUUAAAACUGGGACAUACCACUUCACCAAGAGGCUGAGUGGUGUCCCGCUGACAAGGUGAUUGCACCGCUUUAAUGCGCUACGAUACGGCACGUCAAGAUAGUCCCUGCAUUACGAAACGGACUGUCCGGCAUUCAGGUAAACUAGGAAUAUUUUCAACUAAAACUACUUUUCUUGUGCCAAGUAUAGACCUUCAUGAAUAUCAGACCAGAAGCGUAUCGAUCCCAUUGUUCACUGAGGUCAAAGUGUACCAGAGUACAUAACGGGCUAUGGUAACCGAGCAUAUCCAUACAGUACGGUAUAUAUACGACUUUGAAAAAAGUUCCUGGUAAGCUGGUGCUACCAGUAGCUGGUAUUCAACAUACCCCGAGGUACAUCAACCCUGGUCAUACAUCUCUAUCACAAGAAGAAUCUCCAGUGAAUUCGUUUAAAGAAUAGAAACUUGGCUGUUGAUUGGAAGCUUAAGGAAAGCCAGAAUAUUAAUAGUGUGUAAUGUUCGCUCGUGCUAAUGCGUAUUUUCCCUCGGGUUAGCGUGCACGACGUAAUAUGCGAUCUAGGCGUACACGCACCUUCCUCGGCCACAUGCGAGCUUUAACACAGAAGAAACUUUAUAGCUCUAUGUGCAAUCUCAACUCUUGUCAAGUGUUCUCGAGGUUACUUUACGCUAGGUACGAUCGAUCGUACGAGUAUACUCCGCUUAUUUCUUUUUUGCUGUAGGGCAGUAUCUUCCGUUUCCGAUAUUCUGUCCAGACAGUAGCCACACGUAUCUCACCCAAAGAAUGCUCCUACACCCAAUACGGCAUCAAUCUAACGGCUGAAAGGUAUCAAUUUACCUAGUGUACGAAGAGGAGGUUAUGCCAUGAUGAAAGGCACGAUAUAUUGGUUUAUUCAACA
Long non-coding RNA from Cephus cinctus (wheat stem sawfly), 1423 nucleotides. RefSeq lists it as uncharacterized. The record is from RefSeq and is a predicted model, not a curated record. The transcript is spliced from 3 exons. Lineage: Eukaryota; Metazoa; Arthropoda; Insecta; Hymenoptera; Cephidae.